Molecule: ribosomal RNA, 785 nt
Filed under: Pseudomonas sp.
Lineage: Bacteria; Pseudomonadati; Pseudomonadota; Gammaproteobacteria; Pseudomonadales; Pseudomonadaceae
Description: bacterial SSU rRNA
Rfam family: Bacterial small subunit ribosomal RNA
Source: RNAcentral
UAUUGCCUGGUAGUGGGGGACAACGUUUCGAAAGGAACGCUAAUACCGCAUACGUCCUACGGGAGAAAGCAGGGGACCUUCGGGCCUUGCGCUAUCAGAUGAGCCUAGGUCGGAUUAGCUAGUUGGUGGGGUAAUGGCUCACCAAGGCGACGAUCCGUAACUGGUCUGAGAGGAUGAUCAGUCACACUGGAACUGAGACACGGUCCAGACUCCUACGGGAGGCAGCAGUGGGGAAUAUUGGACAAUGGGCGAAAGCCUGAUCCAGCCAUGCCGCGUGUGUGAAGAAGGUCUUCGGAUUGUAAAGCACUUUAAGUUGGGAGGAAGGGCAUUAACCUAAUACGUUAGUGUUUUGACGUUACCGACAGAAUAAGCACCGGCUAACUCUGUGCCAGCAGCCGCGGUAAUACAGAGGGUGCAAGCGUUAAUCGGAAUUACUGGGCGUAAAGCGCGCGUAGGUGGUUUGUUAAGUUGGAUGUGAAAGCCCCGGGCUCAACCUGGGAACUGCAUCCAAAACUGGCAAGCUAGAGUACGGUAGAGGGUGGUGGAAUUUCCUGUGUAGCGGUGAAAUGCGUAGAUAUAGGAAGGAACACCAGUGGCGAAGGCGACCACCUGGACUGAUACUGACACUGAGGUGCGAAAGCGUGGGGAGCAAACAGGAUUAGAUACCCUGGUAGUCCACGCCGUAAACGAUGUCAACUAGCCGUUGGAAUCCUUGAGAUUUUAGUGGCGCAGCUAACGCAUUAAGUUGACCGCCUGGGGAGUACGGCCGCAAGGUUAAAACUCAA